GGGGGCGAUUCGGAUUCGACGCCGGUAUCAACUCCCAGGGUGCAUGCCGAGAGGGUAGUGACUCUCGUAAAUCAAUCGCUGCAACUGACUAGUUGCCGAAGACACGCAGUACGCCCUGGCCGCCUGAGCGCGGCUAGCGAUUGCCGAUGGGAUUCCCGUAAACCGUCGUCCGCAAUCGUCAUUCAGAACGGGAUCGCGGCAAGACGCGCCUGGCGUUGCGCCGUUAAACCUUUCCAGGCUCGCCCCGCUCGCCCUGCCCGUCGGGUAGACCGGGGUCAACUCAGUAGACGAAGCUAAGCAUGUAGACCCCGGGGCCGCGAACUGACGGACGGGAGUUCAACUCUCCCCGCCUCCACCA
RNAcentral lists this transfer-messenger RNA (358 nucleotides) under Gammaproteobacteria bacterium. It matches the Rfam family "transfer-messenger RNA". From Rfam's summary of the family: Bacterial tmRNA, also known as 10Sa RNA or SsrA, is named for its dual tRNA and mRNA-like properties. Its role is to liberate the mRNA from a stalled ribosome. To accomplish this part of the tmRNA is used as a reading frame that ends in a translation stop signal. Lineage: Bacteria; Pseudomonadati; Pseudomonadota; Gammaproteobacteria. The record is from RNAcentral.